GACUGCUGGCUGUGGUGCCGGGGCUCCUGUGCUGUGCCCCCUCACCCUCCUCUGGGAUGCAUGUCAGUGUUGUGACACUGAUCCUACUUCUCCAGAAACAUUCAUGAUCAGUGUUCUUGUAACUCAGUGAUAUUCUAAUACAUAGGACGGAAUUAUAUUUCCUUUCUCAGAGGAAAAUUAAGAAGUCUAGGAUGGAAUAUUCAUAUUUCCAUGUGUUCUGAAAAUGAGUGAAUAUGCCCUCUCUCCUGGUAGUGUUCAUGUAGUCUGAAUUCCUGGGAUUGAGAAGGCUUCCCAGUUCCCUCCACACCACGGAGCCAGCACAAGGUGAAGAAACCCCAGGAAACACUGCCACAGGUGUUUUAUUUGUGGUUCACUGCAGAGGGAGGACGAGGACGUGGGAGGACUCUGCCUGCUCCAGGUGGAUGAGGCCCCUGGCAGAGGUGUUUCAUUAUCCAGGCAAGGUGCCACAUGAAGCAGACGCCUUUGCUGCCAGUGUGGAUCACACCAUGAGGCCAAGCCACUGCGUCUCCGAGGCCAUGUGGAGUCAGGCCGCAGGUGUCCCUGCACCACCUCUGUGGGCUGGGGCAGCUGCCCUGUCCUGCAGCUGCACUCUAGGAGCCCUGCUUCUCUUCCUGUCUGGGGUGACAUCGUCUGCCCUGCAGUGCCCGCUUCCUUCCUUCCGUCUGCCUGGCCAUCUCUGUCCCACCCCUGAGCCCCGCCCUCCCUGACCUUGACCACAGCAGCCUGGUGCCAGUGUGGUUUCCAGCUCAGGACUCCCUGAGUGUGCCCUGGCACUUCACCAGCCAAGUGGGACCCAGAAACCCAAAUGCCCACCCCACAUAGCUUACCUGGGAUGGGGCAGGCGGACAGCAACAAAUAAAAUCAGCGUAUCUUGAAGGGUUCUAGAAGGCAGCCAGAGCUGGAUAGACCAUAUGCCAAACUGAGGUGCAG
Molecule: long non-coding RNA, 951 nt
Filed under: Cavia porcellus (domestic guinea pig)
Lineage: Eukaryota; Metazoa; Chordata; Mammalia; Rodentia; Caviidae
Description: lncRNA (ENSCPOG00000036880.1)
Source: RNAcentral